AUGUUAUUCUACAAUUUAACAUCCAUCCAUUUCACAUUUUUUCCAUAAGAGAUGCUCAUCUUAUUUCCUUUGGCUCUUUGUCCUGUGGUAUAGGACAUGAAGCAUCAUGUCAUAUUUUGGUUAUGACCCUCCUGAUCAAAUAUGAUCUAUUUUGUAGUGACUGUAUCUAAUAUAUGGGUAACCAAAAAUUGAAACCAUGAUAUAUCAAACAGCCACUUAGCUAAAUCAGUUGGCUAUAUAUAGAACCUUUUAUUUGACCACAUGUUUAUAUCCUCUUAUCUUUAUUUCUGGAGUUUGCUGGUUCAUUGUUCUGCUUAAACAUCAUAGAAUAUAUGAGAAACUGGAUCUUUAUAUUAUCAAAAUAAGUUUUUGUGAUCACAUCUUGUGUCUCAGCUACAGCUACUAUAAAAGAUUUGGGUUGGCUUCUAAAGCCAAAAAUAGAGUAGUUUGAGCCAAUACUUAAAAGAAUUUAGUAGUGCUCAAUUGCCUAGGAAAAAAUUAGCAGCGCUUGAUGCGUUAGGUUCUAUUAUAUAAUUUAUUAAAAGGUCAAGCUGAAGCAAAAAUUAUGAAAUGGAUACAAGGGAAAUAAGUUGUUUCUCUUAUCUCUUGUCCAUCUACGUUGUAUAAGUCUUGCUAAAUCUAUGUCCUUCAAAAAUGGGAUCUUGUUUCUGAAAAUUGUCCCAGAAGUAAAAUGGCUUCCUCUUACAAAUGGAAUGCCUUGUCCAAUCAACUUGAGAUCUAAUAUGCAACUGAGCCCCUAGCUUCAUGGCAUCUAUGUAACCAUGUUAGGAUGAAUGGUGCAUCUCAUUAUGUUCUAAGAAGAAUACAAAUUUUGCUACAGAAUUGGACCCGCUAAGUAAAGAUCCUGCAAGUUCAUAAGAGAAGCAGAAUAAUCACAUUAUGUCCUCCCUAGAACAGCAUGAUCUGCAGGAAUCAUUAGAUGGGGUUAAGAUUAGAAAGCAUUCAUCUGUGACGUUUUGCCUAGAAUAUAAUUGGCAUUGCAUCCUUUUCAAUUCAAUGUGUGGUUAAGAUUAGAAGUUUCUCCACACCUCUCCCUCUCUCUCUCUC
RNAcentral lists this long non-coding RNA (1068 nucleotides) under Phoenix dactylifera (date palm). RNAcentral describes it as "long non-coding RNA (PDAC_LNC016102)". Lineage: Eukaryota; Viridiplantae; Streptophyta; Magnoliopsida; Arecales; Arecaceae. The record is from RNAcentral.